RNAcentral lists this ribosomal RNA (440 nucleotides) under uncultured bacterium. RNAcentral describes it as "partial 16S ribosomal RNA". It matches the Rfam family "Bacterial small subunit ribosomal RNA", at positions 338 to 795 of the family's 1533-position model. The record is from RNAcentral.
CCUACGGGAGGCAGCAGUGGGGGAUAUUGCACAAUGGGGGGAACCCUGAUGCAGCGACGCCGCGUGAGUGAAGGAGCCUUUCGGCAUGUAAAGCUCUAUCGGCAGGGAAGAAAAUUACAGUACCUGACCAAGAAGCCCCGGCUAACUACGUGCCAGCUGCCGCGGUAAUAGGUAGGGGGCAAGCGUUAUCCGGAUUUACUGGGUGUAAGGGGGGCGUAGACGGUAAUGUAAGCCUGGAGUGAAAGCCCGGGGCCCAACCCCGGGACUGCUUUUGAAACUGUGUAGCUGGAGUUCAGGAGGGGCAGGCGGAAUUCCUGGUGUAGCGGUGAAAUGCGUAGAUAUCAGGAGGAACACCGGUGGCGAAGGCGGCCUGCUGGACUGAGACUGACGUUGAGGCUCGAAGGCGUGGGGAGCAAACAGGAUUAGAUACCCGUGUAGUC